UACGGAAUGUGCAACCGUUAUUCGGAAUCACUGGGCUUAAAGAGUCUGUAGGCGGUUUGUUAGGUGAGGUGUGAAAUCCCUCGGCCCAACCGAGGAAUUGCGCUUCAAACCGGCGAGCUAGAGGAGGAUAGAGGUGGGCGGAACUGAUGGUGGAGCGGUGAAAUGCGUUGAUAUCAUCAGGAACACCGGAGGCGAAAGCGGUCCACUGGGUCCUUUCUGACGCUGAUGGACGAAAGCUAGGGGAGCGAACGGG
Molecule: ribosomal RNA, 253 nt
Filed under: uncultured bacterium
Lineage: Bacteria
Description: partial 16S ribosomal RNA
Rfam family: Bacterial small subunit ribosomal RNA
Source: RNAcentral